CCCCUACGGGGCGCAGCAGCGGGGAAUAUUGCACAAUGGGGGAAACCCUGAUGCAGCGACGCCGCGUGAGUGAAGAAGUGCCUCGGCACGUAAAGCUCUAUCAGCAGGGAAGAAAAUGACGGUACCUGACCAAGAAGCCCCGGCUAACUACGUGCCAGCAGCCGCGGUAAUACGUAGGGGGCAAGCGUUAUCCGGAUUUACUGGAUGUAAAGGGAGCGUAGACGGCGGCGCAAGUCUGGAGUGAAAUCCCGGGGCUCAACCCCGGAACUGCUUUGGAAACUGCGCGGCUCGAGUGCAGGAGGGGG
This 305-nucleotide ribosomal RNA is filed under the name uncultured bacterium. RNAcentral describes it as "bacterial SSU rRNA". It matches the Rfam family "Bacterial small subunit ribosomal RNA", at positions 336 to 658 of the family's 1533-position model. The record is from RNAcentral.